This 94-nucleotide transfer RNA is filed under the name Chloroflexus islandicus. RNAcentral describes it as "tRNA-Ser". It matches the Rfam family "tRNA". Rfam says of the family: Transfer RNA (tRNA) molecules are approximately 80 nucleotides in length. Their secondary structure includes four short double-helical elements and three loops (D, anti-codon, and T loops). Further hydrogen bonds mediate the characteristic L-shaped molecular structure. tRNAs have two regions of fundamental functional importance: the anti-codon, which is responsible for specific mRNA codon recognition, and the 3' end, to which the tRNAs corresponding amino acid is attached (by aminoacyl-tRNA synthetases). tRNAs cope with the degeneracy of the genetic code in two manners: having more than one tRNA (with a specific anti-codon) for a particular amino acid; and 'wobble' base-pairing, i.e. permitting non-standard base-pairing at the 3rd anti-codon position. Lineage: Bacteria; Bacillati; Chloroflexota; Chloroflexia; Chloroflexales; Chloroflexaceae. The record is from RNAcentral. RNAcentral also lists the same sequence under 2 other names.
GGGGGCGUGGCAGAGUCCGGUUUAUUGCGUCGGUCUUGAAAACCGAAGGACGUAGCAAUGCGUCCCGUGGGUUCGAAUCCCACCGCCCCCUCCA